Molecule: ribosomal RNA, 253 nt
Filed under: uncultured bacterium
Lineage: Bacteria
Description: partial 16S ribosomal RNA
Rfam family: Bacterial small subunit ribosomal RNA
Source: RNAcentral
UACGUAGGGGGCAAGCGUUGUCCGGAAUCAUUGGGCGUAAAGGGCGCGUAGGCGGCUUUGCAAGUGACGGGUGAAAUCCCUCGGCUUAACCGAGGAACUGCCUGUCAGACUGCAUUGCUUGAGUCCGGGAGAGGUGAGUGGAAUUCCCAGUGUAGCGGUGAAAUGCGUAGAUAUUGGGAGGAACACCAGUGGCGAAGGCGGCUCACUGGACCGGAACUGACGCUGAGGCGCGAAAGCGUGGGGAGCAAACAGG